AGCCUUCUGUAUUCGUGCUGAGAUUUCGUCAGUGAUCAACUCGUUGGAGUUGAUGCGACUUCUCAAAUAAGUGAAGUG
This 78-nucleotide microRNA precursor is filed under the name Trichobilharzia regenti. RNAcentral describes it as "mir-3492 microRNA precursor family". It matches the Rfam family "mir-3492 microRNA precursor family". Lineage: Eukaryota; Metazoa; Platyhelminthes; Trematoda; Strigeidida; Schistosomatidae. The record is from Rfam by way of RNAcentral.